UUUCAUUCAUCUCUUUCGUUUCUUUACUUUUUUACUUCAAACACGUUAUCAGCACAUAGACUCUACCUGAAAGAAAUCGCAUGUGAGAAGUCUCCAUGCAUGCGUUGGUGGCACCACUGGAUGUGGCGUCUCCAUCUAGCACGACCUUUCAAGUGAUUUUCUUAAAAAUAGAAUAACAUAAGGUAAUAGAACUAUAAACAUCUACUGACAAUAGUCAGACUAUGUUUUCUAUUACUCCGAGAUCGACACCAUAUUGGUGAUUAUCUUCAAAGUGUUAUCCUAUAUAAAUUGAGGUCAACACAUAUGGCUAUAUGACAUCAGCCAUACUAGAAUUUGCUCCUCUGAAGCAUUUAUUGUUGUUGUUAACUAAUAUAUUUUACUUUCAUAGUAAAUAUUAUUCUUGCACACUUUGCUUGAAUAUGUCAUAGGAAACUACGAAAAUAUUCACAUAUACGUGUAAUUAACUUCUAUUACAUUGAUAAAAUACAUGGCAAUGGAGCCUACGCCACUAUUUCUAAUUAUAGUGUCGUCCAUCCAUCAAGAUGGAUCCCAUAAUGUAUGGCAAUGAUUGAGUGUCACAACACUUCCGCAAGGACCACAUCACAUCGUGGUUAUACUUUCAUAGUGGCUAACCAAUGUUAAGCACAUGCAAGUCUAUACGUUUUGGCAGUGACUCUAAAAUCACAAACUUCCUCAAGAAUGAAGUCCAAAACAUUAGCAAUAAUUUCAUCGCAUGUGUUAUAUUGAAGGAUACACCUAGGCUCACCAAUGAUCACCUUG
This 780-nucleotide long non-coding RNA is filed under the name Hordeum vulgare. RNAcentral describes it as "long non-coding RNA (HVUL_LNC013291)". Lineage: Eukaryota; Viridiplantae; Streptophyta; Magnoliopsida; Poales; Poaceae. The record is from RNAcentral.